Molecule: microRNA precursor, 79 nt
Organism: Bison bison bison
Lineage: Eukaryota; Metazoa; Chordata; Mammalia; Artiodactyla; Bovidae
Source: Ensembl
CUGAAAUAGGUUGCCUGUGAGGUGUUCACUUUUCUAAGCGAUGAAUAUUAUACAGUCAACCUCUUUCCGAUAUCGAAUC